CUAAACCUAAUCCCGUUUUCAUUGAAACUUCAUUCAUCUCCUGCUUGCCUUCUUCCUCCUUCCUCCUUCAUUCUUCAUUCCAGACACGUUGAGACACUUGACAGUGAGACGCCAUCUUGCUUCUUCAAUCUUCAGUUCUUCACGCCGUCAUCUUGCCUCUUCGUCACCAUUUACGUUGAGACGCCAUCUUCUUCUUCCUGUUCAGUUCUUCAGUUCUUUAAUUGGAUUUGUUCAGCAAUUUUCGAUACUUAUUGAAGAUCUACCUGGAUUCUUACCCAGUACCACCAUCUAGAUUUUCGGUAAUGCAUUAACUUUGGAGCAUCCGAAGGUCAUAAUCGAUGAAACUCUUGACGACGUUGAAGAUGAUUAAUGGAGCUUCAAGUUUCAACUUAUAAAUUUUAAUCGCUUGCUUUUAGUUUAUGGAAUUAUGGUUGUAUUUCAAUAACUAAUUAUUGUAUUUUAAUAGUUUAUGAUUAAUUAAGUUAAGUAUUUUAAUAUUAUGUGAAUUAUAUAUAAAAAAAUGUCAAAAGAAAUAACAAAAAAAAUUAAUAAAUAAAAAAAAAAAUAAUAAUAAAUAACAAAACCGGGUACCCGGAUUUCGGGUACCCGGUUUAAACCAGGUCGGAUCCGGAAUAGAAUUUUAAGUAUCCGGAAAACCGGGUACCCGGUUUUUCGGAACCGGGUCGACCCGGUAUCCGGUUUUGAACACCCGUACAUAUAAAUAUGAUUUUCAAUUCUAUCCACUUCAAAACAAUAAUAUAUACUAAAUAGUGUUGUGUGCCAAGUUUCGUGCAAAACAAACCAAGUUUGAGCUACUUUAUGUGCGAAAGUGACAAAAAGCAUAAAAACCCAUAAAAUCGUAACUUA
Amaranthus tricolor (Joseph's coat) is the source of this 867-nucleotide long non-coding RNA. RefSeq lists it as uncharacterized. NCBI's taxonomy places the organism in Eukaryota, Viridiplantae, Streptophyta, Magnoliopsida, Caryophyllales, Amaranthaceae. The record is from RefSeq and is a predicted model, not a curated record. The transcript is spliced from 3 exons.